AUUGAACGCUGGCGGCAGGCCUAACACAUGCAAGUCGAGCGGAUCGGCGGACGGGUGAGUCAUGCCUAGGAAUCUGCCUGGUCGUGGGGGAUAACGUCCGGAAACGGGCACUAAUACCGCAUACUAUCAGAUUAGCCUCGGUCGGAUUAGCUAGUUGGUGGGGUAAAGGCAUACCAAGGCGACGAUCCGUAACUGGUCUGAGAGGAUGAUCAGUCACACUGGAACGGAGACACGGUCCAGAAUCCUACGGGAGGCAGCAGUGGGGAAUAGUGGACAAUGGGCGAAAGCCUGAUUCAGCCAUGCCGCGUGUGUGAAGAAGGUCUUCGGGUUGUAAAGCACUUUAAGUUGGGAGGCGUUACCAACAGAAGAAGCACCGGCUAACUUCGUGCCAGCAGCCGCGGUAAUUC
RNAcentral lists this ribosomal RNA (407 nucleotides) under uncultured bacterium. Its description in RNAcentral is "partial 16S ribosomal RNA". It matches the Rfam family "Bacterial small subunit ribosomal RNA", at positions 30 to 526 of the family's 1533-position model. The record is from RNAcentral.